RNAcentral lists this ribosomal RNA (407 nucleotides) under uncultured bacterium. RNAcentral describes it as "bacterial SSU rRNA". It matches the Rfam family "Bacterial small subunit ribosomal RNA", at positions 355 to 776 of the family's 1533-position model. The record is from RNAcentral.
UGGGGAAUAUUGGGCAAUGGAGGAAACUCUGACCCAGCAACGCCGCGUGAAUGAUGAAGGUCUUCGGAUUGUAAAGUUCUUUUCUAUGGGAAGAAGAAAGUGACGGUACCAUAGGAAUAAGCCUCGGCUAACUACGUGCCAGCAGCCGCGGUAAUACGUAGGAGGCAAGCGUUAUCCGGAAUGACUGGGCGUAAAGGGUGCGUAGGUGGUUUGGCAAGUUGGUAGCGUAAUUCCAGAGCUCAACUUUGGAACUACUACCAAAACUGUCGGACUUGAGUGCAGGAGGGGCAACUGGAAUUCCUAGUGUAGCGGUGGAAUGCGUAGAUAUUAGGAGGAACACCAGUGGCGAAGGCGAGUUGCUAGACUGUAACUGACACUGAGGCACGAAAGCGUGGGGAGCAAACAGG